RNAcentral lists this transfer RNA (69 nucleotides) under Anaxyrus americanus (American toad). RNAcentral's name for it is "tRNA-Asp". It matches the Rfam family "tRNA". Rfam says of the family: Transfer RNA (tRNA) molecules are approximately 80 nucleotides in length. The record is from RNAcentral. Lineage: Eukaryota; Metazoa; Chordata; Amphibia; Anura; Bufonidae.
GAGGAAUUAGUUAAAUAAUAACACUGCCUUGUCAAGACAAAAUCAUGAGUUAAACCCUCGUAUUCCUCU